AACGAACGCUGGCGGCAUGCCUAACACAUGCAAGUCGAACGAGACCUUCGGGUCUAGUGGCGCACGGGUGCGUAACGCGUGGGAACCUGCCCUUAGGUUCGGAAUAACUCCCCGAAAGGGGUGCUAAUACCGGAUAAUGUCUUCGGACCAAAGAUUUAUCGCCCUUGGAUGGGCCCGCGUUGGAUUAGCUAGUUGGUAGGGUAAAAGCCUACCAAGGCGACGAUCCAUAGCUGGUCUGAGAGGAUGGUCAGCCACACUGGGAGUAAGACACGGCCCCGACUACUACGGGAGGGAGCAGAGGGGAAUAUUGGAAAAUGGGCCAAGUCCUGAUCCAGCAAUGCCGCGUGAGUGAUGAAGGCCUUAGGGUUGUAAAGCUCUUUUACCCGGGAUGAUAAUGACAGUACCGGCAGAAUAAGCACCGGCUAACUCCGUG
RNAcentral lists this ribosomal RNA (433 nucleotides) under uncultured bacterium. RNAcentral describes it as "partial 16S ribosomal RNA". It matches the Rfam family "Bacterial small subunit ribosomal RNA", at positions 29 to 507 of the family's 1533-position model. The record is from RNAcentral.